Molecule: ribosomal RNA, 477 nt
Filed under: uncultured organism
Description: partial 16S ribosomal RNA
Rfam family: Bacterial small subunit ribosomal RNA
Source: RNAcentral
UACACUCCUGCGGGAGGCAGCAGUGGGGAAUUUUGGACAAUGGGCGAAAGCCUGAUCCAGCAAUGCCGCGUGUGUGAAGAAGGCCUUCGGGUUGUAAAGCACUUUUGUCCGGAAAGAAAUCCUUGGCUCUAAUACAGUCGGGGGAUGACGGUACCGGAAGAAUAAGCACCGGCUAACUACGUGCCAGCAGCCGCGGUAAUACGUAGGGUGCGAGCGUUAAUCGGAAUUACUGGGCGUAAAGCGUGCGCAGGCGGUUUGCUAAGACCGAUGUGAAAUCCCCGGGCUCAACCUGGGAACUGCAUUGGUGACUGGCAGGCUAGAGGAUGGCAGAGGGGGGUAGAAUUCCACGUGUAGCAGUGAAAUGCGUAGAGAUGUGGAGGAAUACCGAUGGCGAAGGCAGCCCCCUGGGCCAAUACUGACGCUCAUGCACGAAAGCGUGGGGAGCAAACAGGAUUAGAAACCCCAGUAGUCCCAUGA